RNAcentral lists this ribosomal RNA (638 nucleotides) under Micropruina glycogenica. Its description in RNAcentral is "bacterial SSU rRNA". It matches the Rfam family "Bacterial small subunit ribosomal RNA", at positions 232 to 885 of the family's 1533-position model. The record is from RNAcentral. Lineage: Bacteria; Bacillati; Actinomycetota; Actinomycetes; Propionibacteriales; Nocardioidaceae.
CGCGGCCUAUCAGCUUGUUGGUGAGGUAACGGCUCACCAAGGCGACGACGGGUAGCCGGCCUGAGAGGGCGGCCGGCCACACUGGGACUGAGAUACGGCCCAGACUCCUACGGGAGGCAGCAGUGGGGAAUAUUGCGCAAUGGGCGAAAGCCUGACGCAGCAACGCCGCGUGCGGGAUGACGGCCUUCGGGUUGUAAACCGCUUUCAGCAGGGACGAAACUGACGGUACCUGCAGAAGAAGCACCGGCUAACUACGUGCCAGCAGCCGCGGUGAUACGUAGGGUGCGAGCGUUGUCCGGAAUUAUUGGGCGUAAAGAGCUCGUAGGCGGUCUGUCGCGUCGGAAGUGAAAACUCGGGGCUCAACCCCGAGCCUGCUUUCGAUACGGGCAGACUUGAGGAAUGUAGGGGAGAACGGAAUUCCUGGUUGAGCGGUGGAAUGCGCAGAUAUCAGGAGGAACACCAGUGGCGAAGGCGGUUCUCUGGACAUUAACUGACGCUGAGGAGCGAAAGCGUGGGGAGCAAACAGGCUUAGAUACCCUGGUAGUCCACGCCGUAAACGGUGGGCACUAGGUGUGGGGAACAUUCCACGUUCUCCGUGCCGUAGCUAACGCAUUAAGUGCCCCGCCUGGGGAGUACGG